UAUAAUUUGAUCUCCAAUGAGUCUGAUUUGGAAUCUUAGUGUUCCUUAAAACUUAUUAUAAUGUGUUCCUAAGGAGAAAGACUGUAUUCUCGGUCUUGAUGUCUCAAUAUAUUGACACUUCAAGACAUGGCUGCUGCUAAAAUCAACAUAUCAAGGCCUAGAAUGUUCAUGGAAGCUAGCAUAAAAGGUAAUGAUAAUAAUAAAUCCUACAUACAAUCAACAUCUAAGCCCAAAUUGGGGAUGAGCAGGCUACCUAGAAAGCUUCUCAGCUGUUUUGAUCAAGUUUUUCUUCCUAGGUUGCAGUUAUCGAGUAUCUUUCUCAGUAAACUUUUGUUGUAGUCAAUGCUUAUAUAUGAGUAGAAAAUCUCUCAAUUUUAAUGUCCCUCAUAAUUUUGAUUAUCUUUGCAUUCUUUUGCUUGACAUGUAAGCAAUAUGCUAUUACAUUCUCUACACCUAUGGCAGGUUUUUAAUUCACUUGACCAUACUCCUAACGCAGAGGCUAGGACUCUGAGAAUAUAAACAGACUCAGGAGUAGUUCCAGUGGAACUUUACUAAUUAUUAAGGCACCUCUUAACCUCUUGAGGUUGGCCUGAUGGAGAUAAAUCAUGUUUCUCCUUAAUGCCACUACGAGAGAGAAUACUAGGCCGGAAGAGCUGUAGGUUAUAGCCAGUGGCACUGAUUGUGUUCACACCCAUCUGAGAGGAAGAAGGCAGGGUCAGGCCUAAUGGGCAAUCUGACUGCUUAUACAUUUGGUCCUUUUGAAAUAAAUGAGAAAAAUAUAAAUGUAAAAAUUUUAGAAUUUCUAUGUUUUAAUUUCCCAGAAUAAAUCUGGUUACUGGGUAGGGCUGCAGAUUAGUAAUUAUUUAGAAGGCAAGAUGAAAUGUAUUGUUUGACUUCUGUUCAGUGUUUAUUUCAUCUUGAACAUAGGAAAAAUUAGUGGCUUUCUAAACUUUUAAAGUUAACUACCCAGACUGAAGAGUUUUAGAACAAGAAAAUGUCAACAGUCUCUUGUGUUGCUGACACAUUAAAACCAGUGAUCAUAUAUCGUCCUUGUC
RNAcentral lists this long non-coding RNA (1055 nucleotides) under Bos taurus (domestic cattle). RNAcentral's name for it is "long non-coding RNA NONBTAT026464". The record is from RNAcentral. Lineage: Eukaryota; Metazoa; Chordata; Mammalia; Artiodactyla; Bovidae.